RNAcentral lists this ribosomal RNA (394 nucleotides) under uncultured bacterium. RNAcentral describes it as "bacterial SSU rRNA". It matches the Rfam family "Bacterial small subunit ribosomal RNA", at positions 30 to 416 of the family's 1533-position model. The record is from RNAcentral.
AUUGAACGCUGGCGGCAUGCCUUACACAUGCAAGUCGAACGGCAGCACGGGGGCAACCCUGGUGGCGAGUGGCGAACGGGUGAGUAAUACAUCGGAACGUAUCCUGUAGCGGGGGAUAACCUCUCGAAAGAGAGGCUAAUACCGCAUACGACCUACGGGUGAAAGAGGGGGAUUCUUGGGCAACUGAGGACCUCUCACUAUUGGAGCGGCCGAUGUCGGAUUAGCAGUUGGCGGGGUAAAGCCCACCAAGGCUACGAUCCGUAGCUGGUCUGAGAGGACGACCAGCCACACUGGAACUGAGACACGGUCCAGACUCCUACGGGAGGCAGCAGUGGGGAAUUUUGGACAAUGGGCGCAAGCCUGAUCCAGCCAUGCCGCGUGAGUGAAGAAGGCC